This 2459-nucleotide long non-coding RNA is filed under the name Gallus gallus (chicken). Lineage: Eukaryota; Metazoa; Chordata; Aves; Galliformes; Phasianidae. The record is from RNAcentral.
GCACCUUUUGGCAAACGCAGCGACAACCACCUGCACCGCCGGGUGCCGGCACUCGGCUCCCCGUGCCCGUAGCCCAGGAUGGGGCCGACGCUCAGGAGCGACCCCCCGCGCCGCUCAGCCCCUCCUGCCCGCAGGGGCAGCGCUGCCGCCCUCCGCGUCGCGUCCCCAGGGCGCUGCGUGCCUCAGGCGGGCGGGGCCGCGCCGUGCGGCCGGGACACAUGGGGCGAGCCGGCAGCAGCGCUACUCACCGGGAGGGUUUACCGCCGCCGGCGUUGCCAUCUUGUCUCUGAGCGGAAUUAAGGGAUGAGAAAGCCACCCCAGAAGAAACAAACGUAGAGAGAUCUGACAGAGUGCUGUCAUAGCUUUCAACGCACGUAUCAAAUAAGCCAAACAACCACCGAAUUUAAACCAAAGCUAUUCAACUGUGCAUGCCGUCCCCUUGCAUGCUGUCCCAUGAGACUUUAGAUUAGCCCAGAAAGAGCACGUUGCAGCCAGUAUAUCUGAUUUUUUGCUCCACCUAAAUAAGACCUUAGGGCUUAUAAUGGAACGUGUUCUGUCAAAUUUAGUGCAAUUCAGACAUAAUUAUGCAAAAUAAGGCUCUUUCUUCUUUUCCUUUGGGUUUGGUGUGAGCUUUGUUACUCUGUUCAGUUUCACAUGCAAUUCUUUGUUCACUUAGAUUGAGAAAUGAGAUUGAUUCUCCCUCCUCCCUACCUUCUCUAUCUUAAUAGGUAGUUUUAGCAGAGUCUUUUAGAAACAAUCCAUAAAUGAAUUGAACUGUCCUCUACUUAUCUGGAAUGAACAAUUUCCUUGCUGUGCCCUUCUGAGCCUUUCCAUAUCUGUGCUGAGAUCUGUAACAGUGGUAACUGGUGAAAGAAAUCAUCACUGCCAUUAAAGGAUGUUCUAGUAAUGGUGGAAAUGCAUGGUGUGUUUCCUUUCGCUGUGACACGAAGAACAGGUAGGCAGUGCAGCAUGAAAGAAACCAGGUACCGUUUCAUUUCUACAAGAUCAUUCCCAGUUCUGCUGUCUGAAGCAUAAUUCCUAGGGGAUGGGGUUCCUCACAGCAAAAGCAAGGACAGCACUGACCUAUACCCUUACAGUCACUGAGAGAUUAAACAACACAUCAGCAGUACCAAGUGAAAAUAUAUACAUAUCGCAAUAUGAGAGAGAUUUACUCUUCGUGAGGCACAACAGGGUGCUUCAUUCACCGUAUUAAUAUAAUUACACACAAAUGUUGACAGGAUGUGUAGCAACAGGAAAGUGAAUGAAUUAGGAAAAGCGAUUUUUAUCUCAAUCUUGUUAUUGUGUACCAGAGAAAGAGUCUGGUUGGUGUCUUUGUAAUGAUCGUUUCCAAUUUAGAGGCCUAUUAUCACUGAUACCAGUGCUCAGCAUAGAUGUGUCUUGUGCAUCUUGGCACUAGAACUACAAAUAGAUCAGUUAAGCACUGCAGCACACUAUAAUUGUUUCUCAUUAACACAUUUCCUUUGAAGUUUCAGCACUGAUCGGCAAGUUGGGAAACGAAUUUGUAUCUCCCCAUGUGUUUUCAGCCCAUGCCAGGCAAUAAUAACGUCUAAAAGGUUUUUAUUUCUUUUAAAUGGUGGAAAGCCGUGUUGUGUUGUGUUGGCUAUCUAAAGUAUUACUUCUUAUGAAGAAAUGAGUGUUUCCAAGCUGGUUUGUUCACCCCGAAUCAAUAAAGUCCAUGCCCAUGACCUUUUAUAUGUAUAUGAAUGAAAGCAAUGAAGCUUUUAUAUGUAUAUAAAAGGUCAUUCAGGUAUUUUUCCAAUCUAUGGCAAUUCCACUUUGAAAGAGCUGAACACCGAGGUCUGAAACAGUGAAAAUUCAGCUCCUCAGCAGAAUUUACUUUUCUGGGGAGAUAAAGAAAGUAGGUAAAGUUUCAAAUAUUUUGAUCUGGUAUAAUCAGAACCGGGAACACAUUAAUAACGUCUCAUACUGUAAAAAGACCUCCCAGCUACAUCCUUUGGUUUGCAUUGCCACUGUAAUUGCAUUUAAUAUAUUGCACUCAAUUUAUCCAAAAGUCUUGGGUAGUUGGGAACAAUAUGUGUAUAUUAAGCAACCCCAUCCACCCAACUGCUGGCAACUGGAAUAUUAAGUGGCCUUUUUAAUUUUGUUCUGUCAUGUGUGGAUGACCGCGCUUGCCUAAAUAAGCUAUAGAGAAAAUCAUGAAGUGUUAAAAAAUGAACAAUCACCUGAAGGCCUUCAAAGCAUUUGUUAAGGAAAUUACAGCCUUGUUCUUUAAACUGUCCCAUAUCAUUUAAGAGGAAAUUGUAUCGUUCCUAUAAAGUACAAUAAAAUACCUUGAUAAGAAUGUGGAAGUUCCAUUAAUCUCUGUUCAGUCCUGCAGGUAUAGAAAUGCAAUUUCUAUGAUGUUCUCUACAGUUAUUGCUGUUAAAUUCUACAGUGCUUUUCCUGUAGAGAAAAUGACAUUGAGUAUUAGAGAAACC